GCUGUCUGGAAAAUGGAGUUAAAUUUGACCAGAGCUGAAGGCACCUUGGAUUGGAGGUUUUACAUCAGGUUUCUGGCCUUUUGGUGAUACCAGCUGAAGAGAGAAGAAUCCUGCUUGGACUGGCUGCUGGCAGCUAGAAUAGACAGAGGACUACAGACUUAUUUCUCCACUGGACCCGAUUCGGACAGUUUUCAUCUCAAGAUCCUUGCCCAUUGACUGGACUCCAUUUGGACCAAUCAAAUACCUCCCAUUUUGAACUGUCUUUGGAAGGGUUCAUUGAAAUGCAAGGGGAGAUCACAAAACUCCAAGGGGACUGAAAAUGAAACCUAACAACAUGACAGAGCCAAGGAACCCUCCUGAUUGACUCAAUUCAAAAGGUAUGCUGCCCCAAAAGCCGGAAUCCGAGAACACGCAGGUUUGAGGGGAAGGC
Molecule: long non-coding RNA, 430 nt
Filed under: Monodelphis domestica (gray short-tailed opossum)
Lineage: Eukaryota; Metazoa; Chordata; Mammalia; Didelphimorphia; Didelphidae
Description: lncRNA (ENSMODG00000039119.1)
Source: RNAcentral